Molecule: ribosomal RNA, 225 nt
Filed under: uncultured bacterium
Lineage: Bacteria
Description: partial 16S ribosomal RNA
Rfam family: Bacterial small subunit ribosomal RNA
Source: RNAcentral
GAUCAUGGCUCAGGAUGAACACUAGCUACAGGCUUAACGCAUGCAAGUCGAGGGGCAGCAUGGUCUUAGCUUGCUAAGGCCGAUGGCGACCGGCGCACGGGUGAGUAACACGUAUCCAACCUGCCGUCUACUCUUGGACAGCCUUCUGAAAGGAAGAUUAAUACAAGAUGGCAUCAUGAGUUCACAUGUUCACAUGAUUAAAGGUAUUCCGGUAGACGAUGGGGA